Molecule: non-coding RNA, 1128 nt
Organism: Schizosaccharomyces pombe (fission yeast)
Lineage: Eukaryota; Fungi; Ascomycota; Schizosaccharomycetes; Schizosaccharomycetales; Schizosaccharomycetaceae
Source: the annotation of a GenBank genome assembly
CAUUGAGGAGGAAUGGAGUGACAAAAAUCAGCAGCAGGAAAGGAUGGUUGUAAUGUAGGAAACAACCGGAGUGCACCUCCAUAUUCGGGUUUCCAACCUUCGUCAGGUUCUACCAAGUAUAAGAUAUAGGAAAUGCACCUGGUACCAAUAACAUCGUCAUGAUUCAUCAAAUGGCAUCCUUUUGAGUAAACAUUAACAGACAAAUCUUUUUUGCUAGCCGAUAAAGGGCCACAGCCGGUAAUCUUUUGAACGUGAGAGCGAAAUUCCUCAGAGUAAAGAGCAUCACGAACUUGACGCAAAUACUUAAGCAUGUUUUGCUCUUUCUUGUCUAAUCCAUCCAAGUUUGCUAGAUCACCAGUUUGCCAAACACGGUAAAUAUCAGUUACUUUCUCUGUAAAAUGUAUGUUUUCCAUAAGUUCCUUACGAACAUUUCGAAGAAGUGUAUCAUUGAUCAGAGGACGAAUCACAACAUGAUUAUACGGUCCAUUUUUGUGAUAUUCCCGUGAAAGUCUUUCUGCCUCACUGGUAUCUAAUGCAUGAGGCGCAAAUCUAUCCAGCACUGUUGGUUGUUGAGUAUCCCCCAUCCCGUUUUUAUAUUUGAGAUUUCACCUGAAUAUAAUGUGCAAUUAGGUAAAAAUUUUAGUGGUUGGCAAACUCCCAAUAGUAGCAAUGAAAAGCAUCCCACCCAUUUUUAUGGACUCGGGUCUCACCAUAGGUAACAUUCUUGAAUUAUCGUAAGACUUUCUUAGACCUCCUAUUACGGAGUGACUUCGGUAACUGUGAAUUUGUUUAAUGAUAGGGAACGCAGGUUAAUUCUUCGCUUGCUUAAAACAACGUGCUAUCCGUAAUUCUGCCUAUUGCUAUAUAUUUGGAUAGUAACGCUUCGAGCUUAAAGAACAGUAUAGUCCCAAAAUAAGGCUAAAAGAGUUUGAAUCUUAAACAGUAAUCUGUUUUCUUUUCCAUUUUCUGAUUAGUUAGAUAACUUUCUUUUGAUGCUUUUGAAUCAAAUAAAUGAAUUAUUCAAGAUGUUUGUGAUUUAAAGUACUAUUUUUUUAUUCCUUAAAAAAACCGUAGCUAGUUUUAUUACCACAACUCGCAUUUCAGGUUUCGGAAAUUAAUCUCAUUUCU